GGCCCUAUGGGGUGCAGCAGGCGCGAAGUCUUUACAAUACACGAAAGUGUGAUAAGGGAACUCUGAGUGCUCAUGCAUUGCAUGGGCUUUUGCCGAGAGUAAAUAUCUCGGAGAAUAAGUGGUGGGCAAGACCGGUGCCAGCCGCCGCGGUAACACCGGCGCCACAAGUGGUGGCCGUUUAUUUGGCCUAGAGCGUCCGUAGCUGGUUAGUUAAAUCUUUUGUGAAAUCGUUGGGCUCAACUCAACGGCGUGCAGAAGACACUGGCUGACUUGAGACUGGGAGGAGUCAGAGGUAUUCCUGGGGGAGCGGUAAAAUGCUAUAAUCCCUCGAAGACCACCAAUGGCGAAGGCAUCUGACUAGAACAGAUCUGACAGUGAGGGACGAAAGCCAGGGGAGCGAUCCGGAUUAGAUACCCGAGUAGUCCUGGCUGUAAACGCUGCGAGCUAGGUAUUGCACAUUCUUCGAGUAUGUGCAGUAUCGAAGCGAAGGCGAAAGCUCGCCGCCUGGGAAGUAUGGUCGCAAGGCUGAAACUUAAAGGAAUUGGCGGGGGAGCAC
RNAcentral lists this ribosomal RNA (556 nucleotides) under uncultured archaeon. Its description in RNAcentral is "bacterial SSU rRNA". It matches the Rfam family "Archaeal small subunit ribosomal RNA", at positions 319 to 879 of the family's 1478-position model. The record is from RNAcentral.